RNAcentral lists this long non-coding RNA (792 nucleotides) under Mus musculus (house mouse). Its description in RNAcentral is "RIKEN cDNA 4930563M21 gene". The record is from RNAcentral. Lineage: Eukaryota; Metazoa; Chordata; Mammalia; Rodentia; Muridae.
UAGCUUUUUGUUGUUGUUGCAAAUGCAUUUCAGUUUCUGCCGUCAUGAAAAGACUGGGUUGUGAAGAUAUGCAUUCCCAGAAAGAACCUGACAUAAAUCUCCUUCAGUCUGCAGAAAAGGCGCGCAGCACUAACGUGAUCUGUGAGCAGAACAAAAUGAAGGCUUCACAAAAAGAAGAUGGCAAAUCGUCACUAGUUGUGGUCCAACCAAGGAAAAGGAGGAUUUUUGCUCUCUUGAAAAGUUUGGGCCUCAGAAGGGCCCAGGAUCAUGAAUACAGUGGCACACCUCAGAAAAAGAGUGUGCUUAGAGGUGAAAAGGCCUGUGGCACCACAGAAGACAUUGAUACGUUUGAAGAAAGCACUGAUGAUGAUUUGGAUAUUGAUCAUGUGGAUGAUGACGAUGUUGAGAAUGAGUUGGAAAUCCACAACACAUAUGAGGAUAACAGCGAGAAUGACUUGGGGAGUGUCACCAGCGUGCACACCUUUGAACUUGAUACUGAUUCAGAUGAGAUGAAGACAGUUCCUGUUGGGCCUAUACAGGAGGACAAGGAUGUGGAGAAGGGACCAUUCCUAACUUGGAGAGAUGGCCCGGCCUGUAAAGGCCAGGGUCACAAAAAUAUUAUCGGAAGUGACUGUUGAUCCUGUAUUCCCCAGGAUCCUGGAAGUGGCACCAGUAUUUUUCUUUUUUUCUUUUCUUUUUUUUUCCACAGCAUCCAAAAUUUAUUAUUUGGUUUUUGUAACUGAGUUCAGUAUUUCUGGUAUAAUGAAAUAAAGUACCAAUAUUUUUUCAAGU